Molecule: ribosomal RNA, 253 nt
Filed under: uncultured bacterium
Lineage: Bacteria
Description: partial 16S ribosomal RNA
Rfam family: Bacterial small subunit ribosomal RNA
Source: RNAcentral
GACAGAGGCCUCAAGCGUUAGGCGGAAUCACUGGGCUUAAAGCGUGUGUAGGCGGAUCGUUAAGUGCCUUGUGAAAUCCCACGGCUCAACCGUGGAACUGCUGGGCAUACUGGCGGUCUUGGGCCAUUCAGGGGCGACUGGAACAAGCGGUGGAGCGGUGAAAUGCGUAGAUAUCGCUUGGAACGCCGAAGGUGAAAACAGGUCGCUGGGGAUGUGCCGACGCUGAGACACGAAAGCCAGGGGAGCAAACGGG